This 459-nucleotide ribosomal RNA is filed under the name uncultured bacterium. RNAcentral's name for it is "partial 16S ribosomal RNA". It matches the Rfam family "Bacterial small subunit ribosomal RNA", at positions 338 to 795 of the family's 1533-position model. The record is from RNAcentral.
CCUACGGGUGGCAGCAGUGAGGAAUAUUGGUCAAUGGCCGGAAGGCUGAACCAGCCAAGCCGCGUGAAGGACGAAGGUGCCAAGCAUUGUAAACUUCUUUUGUCAAGGGACAAAAUCAGGCUCGAGAGCCUGACCGAGGGUACUUGAAGAAAAAGCAUCGGCUAACUCCGUGCCAGCAGCCGCGGUAAUACGGAGGAUGCGAGCGUUAUCCGGAUUUAUUGGGUUUAAAGGGUGCGUAGGCGGACUGUUAAGUCAGCGGUAAAAGCCCGGGGCUCAACCCCGGCGAGCCGUUGAAACUGGCUGUCGUGAGACGUCGAGAGGUAUGCGGAAUGCGAAGUGUAGAGGUGAAAUGCUUAGAUAGGGCGCAGAACUCCGAUUGCGAAGGCAGCAUACCGGCGGCGAUCUGACGCUGAGGCACGAAAGCGUGGGUAUCGAACAGGAUUAGAUACCCCAGUAGUC